Molecule: ribosomal RNA, 505 nt
Filed under: uncultured bacterium
Lineage: Bacteria
Description: partial 16S ribosomal RNA
Rfam family: Bacterial small subunit ribosomal RNA
Source: RNAcentral
GACGAACGCUGGCGGCGUGCCUAAUACAUGCAAGUGGGACGCAAGGAAACACACUGUGCUUGCACACCGUGUUUUCUUGAGUCGCGAACGGGUGAGUAACGCGUAGGUAACCUGCCUAUUAGCGGGGGAUAACUAUUGGAAACGAUAGCUAAUACCGCAUAAUAUUAAUUAUUGCAUGAUAAUUGAUUGAAAGAUGCAAGCGCAUCACUAGUAGAUGGACCUGCGUUGUAUUAGCUAGUUGGUAAGGUAAGAGCUUACCAAGGCGACGAUACAUAGCCGACCUGAGAGGGUGAGCGGCCACACUGGGACUGAGACACGGCCCAGACUACUACGGGAGGCAGCAGUAGGGAAUCUUCGGCAAUGGACGAAAGUCUGACCGAGCAACGCCGCGUGAGUGAAGAAGGUUGUCGGAUCGUAAAGCUCUGUUGUAAGUCAAGAACGUGUGUGAGAGUGGAAAGUUCACACAGUGACGGUAGCUUACCAGAAAGGGACGGCUAACUACGUG